RNAcentral lists this ribosomal RNA (467 nucleotides) under uncultured bacterium. Its description in RNAcentral is "partial 16S ribosomal RNA". It matches the Rfam family "Bacterial small subunit ribosomal RNA", at positions 28 to 506 of the family's 1533-position model. The record is from RNAcentral.
GACGAACGCUGGCGGCGUGCUUAACACAUGCAAGUCGAACGGAAAGGCCCUGCUUUUGUGGGGUGCUCGAGUGGCGAACGGGUGAGUAACACGUGAGUAACCUGCCCUUGACUUUGGGAUAACUUCAGGAAACUGGGGCUAAUACCGGAUAGGAGCUCCUGCUGCAUGGUGGGGGUUGGAAAGUUUCGGCGGUUGGGGAUGGACUCGCGGCUUAUCAGCUUGUUGGUGGGGUAGUGGCUUACCAAGGCUUUGACGGGUAGCCGGCCUGAGAGGGUGACCGGCCAAAUUGGGACUGGGGAACGGCCCAGCCUCCUACGGGAGGGAGCAGGGGGGAAUAUUGAACAAUGGGCGGAAGCCUGAAGCAGCACCGCCGGGGGGGGGAUGGCGGCCUUCGGGUUGUAAACCGCUUUCGCCUGUAACGAAGCGUGGGUGAGGGUAAGGGGGAAAGAAGCACCGGCUAACUACGU